UUCAAGUUGAAUUAAGAAGACGAUUCAAAAUAUUGAGAUAUUUACAUUAAUAGCAACCUUACAACCCACCAAACACUAAGAGGUGAUUCGACCCCCCAUUUUCUUUUUUCAAAAUAGUGAAUUUGAACGAUUUAUCCCUACUCAUUUUCCUCGAGUUCGUUCCUGCAAUGCCUACCGAGACGGGUGUUCUUUGACUGUGACGUCACCGGGGGUAUCGUAGUAAACAAGGCAGUGCUGUUUUGUGUACUAUGCACGUACGCCUUCAUAUUUACUUUUGUGUCAAAACUUCAUUUUAUCGCUAUUGAUUUUAUGUGAACGAUGUUGAAAGGAAGUAAUAAUUAUCAUAAGACAUAUUGUCAAUAAUAUGACCCUACAUUGUUAAAACUGUUCUUCUUUGUAGCAAUUUUAGACGAUUUUAAUGCCUUGUUUUCGUUCCGGACUGUGUCCGUGGCGAAACAAUUGAAUAAACUGCAGUUGAAGUUGUAUUUCGAGCCGGAGAACUUGCAAAAAGGAAAUGAUUAAAAUUAUAUUUAUGGCCAUACUAUUAUUCCAAAUAUGUAAAUUCCCUCAUAAUGAUACCAUAGACCCUAAAGGAAUAAUUUCAAGACGAAUAAUAUGAAAUUUGACCAAGAUCUUCUCACCAGUCGAUAACGUAGCAGACGUGUUAUCAUGAUAUAUUUAUCCGCGUGUGACGCGGCUCUUGCAAAAAACACAGUUGGUUGCGGAAUUGCUUUGUGCCGACCGGCCACCCGCUCCGGGGCAGCUAGCUGUCGAGCUGCCGGACCGCAUACCUUUCAUGCUGUCUUGAACUCACUUGCGAAUUGCAUUUGUAUGUUUGACGGUGACCUCUAGCGUAAUUAAAUAUACAGGUAGAAAACAACUCGGGAGGCCGAGAAGAAUAGUAAGUUGAUUCAAGAUUGUUCUGUGGAAUGAGCCAUGAGUGGAAAUGAUCCACAGGAUAUAAAAAUGGUGUCAAAGACAAAAGGAAAGAAGAAAAAGACGUCAGGGGAUUGCUGCAUGGUCAUGAACUGCGGUUCGACCAUAGAGAUAUAUAUGGGGAUGGUCUGGGGGUCGACAUACCAGAACACUUCCCCACUACAGUGCAGUACACACUCAAUGCCUGGGUGCAUGCAGCGCGCGCAGAGCUGAGCUAGCCGCCGGAAUUACUUUCCAGCUACUCACUUGAUGGAACAUCGUGAUAAAAUAAAUGAGAAAUAGUGAAAAUAUCAUUCAAUAACUCACUGUUUUCAAUCUUUCAUCAUGAUUUAAGAGUUCAUGAUAGUUAUUCAUACUGUUCUUUAUACAGGUAAAGUAAAGAUUUGUACAUAUGAUUCCUAUUUGUUUGAUUUGAGUUGCUUUGACAAAAAAUUGUAAAAUCAUCUUUCACUCUCUGCAUAGCAUUUCUGUAUUACACCCAGGCACCUCUUACACUAAAUUCCCUCCGGUGACGUCACACUCAGAGUGAUUUUUCUGUACACUCGUCUCUCGGGCUCUGACAGGUGGCUAAUUUCAUAGACUUUCAAAGCAAAAUAUCGAGAAGGCAGAAGAUUUUUGUGACAUGCUAUUUGUUUGAACAACUGAUAUAUACUUUAUAUUAUGUGUGGAAACCAUAUUUAUGGAAACUCACCCCCUUCUUAAUUCAAGUUU
RNAcentral lists this long non-coding RNA (1647 nucleotides) under Lytechinus variegatus (green sea urchin). RNAcentral describes it as "uncharacterized LOC121430817". Lineage: Eukaryota; Metazoa; Echinodermata; Echinoidea; Temnopleuroida; Toxopneustidae. The record is from RNAcentral.